RNAcentral lists this ribosomal RNA (253 nucleotides) under uncultured bacterium. RNAcentral's name for it is "partial 16S ribosomal RNA". It matches the Rfam family "Bacterial small subunit ribosomal RNA", at positions 524 to 776 of the family's 1533-position model. The record is from RNAcentral.
UACGGAGGGUGCAAGGGAUCCUCGGAAUCACUGGGCGUAAAGGGCGCGUAGGCGGCCUAGCAAGUCUGGUGUGAAAGCCCAGGGCUCAACCCUGGAAGGGCACUGGAAACUGUUAGGCUUGAGUUCCGGAGAGGAGGGGGGAAUUCCCGGUGUAGCGGUGAAAUGCGUAGAUAUCGGGAGGAAUACCGGUGGCGAAGGCGCCCCUCUGGACGGAAACUGACGCUGAGGCGCGAAAGCGUGGGGAGCAAACAGG